Molecule: long non-coding RNA, 4719 nt
Filed under: Mytilus galloprovincialis (Mediterranean mussel)
Lineage: Eukaryota; Metazoa; Mollusca; Bivalvia; Mytilida; Mytilidae
Source: RNAcentral
GUAAAAAGUAGACAUAUUUUUAAAAAAAAUAUUAUUAUGAAUAGUGCACUGUAUAAUUUGUAAAAUGUUUAUUGUGAAGUCUUGGGAAAUUGUGAAACUUUAGAACUGUGUUGAGAUGUCUAUAUUCAAUCUUCAAUGAUGGUCAGUGCAAUGGAGGACAAUAGAAUAUUGCUCUGUGAAGAAACAUACUUUUUUAUAUCAAGAAAGAUCCAACAACAGUUAUCAAUGAUAUCUAAAGAGACAAAAGACUGAGAAAUACUAAAAGCUCAAAUUAGUAUUCUUUGAGAUUGAUGGAAAUGUACAAACAACUGGCACACUAAAGCUAAAAGUAAUACUAAAUAAAACUAUGAACUUGUAUAAUAACAUUUAUGUUCUAUUGUGAAAGACAUGUUUCUACAUACUGUUCUAUAAUGAAGACACGUUUCUCGUAACAUAAUGGUCUAUAGUGAAAGACAUUUUAUAGUGAAGACACAUUUCUAGAUAAUGUUCUAUGGUGAAAUAAGAUGUUCUAUAGCACAAACAGAUGUUCCUUAGUUGCAAUGAAGUGUUCAGACGACAGACAGUGUUUCCUUUUGCAAUGAAGUAUCCAGAAGAUUUCCAGCUCUUCGUUACAUAUUCUGCUGUUUUCUCAAGAAAAACACAAGGUACUGAUAGUUUAAGUCUGUAAAAAGUUUAAUAUAUGCACACAAUUUAAGAAUUUAAAUGGCCAAACCUGUUAGUGUGGAUUUAUUGUGAUAUUCUAGUUCUAGAUUUAUGAUCCUCUUUGAAUAAUAAUUUAGAUUAAAGUGAUGGAAAUUUCUCCCUUGUAAUAUCAUUUUGAUAGUGUUUUGUAAUUUUUUUCUGUUGAAUAUGAAGAAUUUUGAAUUGUGUAUGACUUGAUAAGAUAAUGAAAAGAAAAGUUAUAUUAAAACUUUCAAUAAAUACUUUUUGGCAAUUCUUUUCCUCAGUUGAAAACAUUGAAAAUGCCUAUAAAAACAAUAGGUUAAUAUUUCAUCAGAAUGUAUUGUAAGGCAGCAUGCUAUUUUGAAUGUUGGUUAUCUGCAUGGUCAGCCUAAACUGAUUUUACGUGUAAAAAAAAUAAUUGAAUGCAAACAAGGGGAAAUAAUAUAUCAAAUUAUUUUAAAAGAAAAAUACCAGUUAGCACUUGAAAAAGCUUAAAAGUAAGAACUGUACCAGGCUUACAUCUUACUGCAAGUUAAAGUUGGCACCAACUACCAAACUGAGGGAAUUCUUUGCAAAAUGGGAAUCUUUUUCCAACCAUUUAUUGAAAAACUAAUAAUGAACAUAUAUAGUAUUGAUAGAAAAAGAAAAAAAUAUAUAUAUUUAACAAUAAUGUCAUAUCUGUGACAUUAAGAUGAUGUGGUAUGAUUGCCAAUUGAGACAUCUAUAUAGCAGUGACCAAAUGAAAUCAAUUAGUUUGACAAUCGCCUUAUUAUAGAAUUUAAAAAAAACAUAUGAAAUCUUAAUUAAAUAGUUUUAAUUUAAAAGAUUAUUUCAAGUCUAAGUAUGUGACUGCCAUUCAUAAAAAUGCAUUAUUUUUAUUCCAGAUUUCAAUGUUCAACCUGAAAGUAGAAAUUCUUAAAAAUUUAUGCUGGACAUCUCAAAUCAUGGAUCCAUCCCAAUACUGGAUAUCUACAGAUAUAAGACUUAUGGAAAAUAUUCUGAUAAAUUAAUGGUAAGUGUUUACAUUAAGGAAUAUAGUGGGUUGAUUGUGGUCCAUUAUGCAUAACACCUGAAUUAAUAUGGAAUUGGAACCAUUUUACAGCACUAUAAUAGAAGCCAGCAUAUGCUUUUUAAUAUUCAAAACUAAACAAAAUCUAUUUUCAAAAUACCUAGUAAUUUCUUGUAAUUGAGUGUCAAUCUGUUUGGCAUUUUUGAUUGGAUUGAUAAAAAAGUACUACUUGGAUAAAUGUGAGAUGUAUUGGUCCAAAUAAUGAGUUCAAAUUGUUUUAAGUGUUUAAGGGUAUUCUCACUGUUUUCAAAAUACUGUAAAAUUCUGAAUAUCCUAGAGCAUGUCAAUAAAUCAGAUAAAAUAUGGGUUCCCAAUUACCAUCUAGACAAUUGUUUUUGCUAUCUUUUACUGAAGAUUUCUUUUGUCUUUUCUAGUUGUCAUUCCAAAACAAUUAAUUUUCAAGGGUAUUUAGCAGAUUAUUAACUGUUAACUUGUGUAUUGCAAUUAAGAUAACAAGUUAUACCAUGUGCCAAGUAGACAAUUGAUGAUUGGUGUAUUGCUCUUUAUCUAUAAAAGUGAAUACAAAAAUUUCGACAUCAUUCACAUUUAUCUGUCUUAAGAUGGUACUGGUACCAAACUGCUUCACUAAAAUUAGUUUGGCUUGUUUAAUUUUCAGAAAAUUUUGUCAAAAUGUUUACUUUGACCAUAUGGCAAAAAUAUAAAGAUUUAAAAAAAACUUGGAACCACACACUUUAUCGUCAAAUUUUCAUUAGACAAAUAGCAGUUUAACUAACAACAAUUUUGAUCAUGGAGAAGCUUAAUAUUUCCUGAACAAUAGGCCGUAAUUAAAACGUUCAGCUGAUUUUUGCAGAGUUAUCUCCCUGUUGUUUUAUGAACCACCUCAAAUGCAUUUCUUUGUCUUUUGGAAUAAAUAAAUAUUGUUAAUCAGAUGAUCCCAAAAACUAUGAAAUAUUUUCUGUGUUUCAGAUGUACGACCAAUUCCUGCCUCAAGUAUCAAACCAGCAAAACUUAUCUUGAUAGGAGUAAAUCAUACCACUGAAUCUCGCUUCGUACAAGGUUGAUAAUCAGCAAAAUUAUUUAAUGGGAGUAAAACAUGGGAGCAGGAUCUCACCUCAUACAAGGUUGGUAUUCGUUAACUUCCAUAGUGAAUCAAUUAUCUGUCCAUCGAUCUGAUGUCGCAAUGUUCUAAUAAAAAUUAGAAGAUGUGGUAUGAUUGCUGAUGAGACAACUCUCUAUCAGAGACAAAAUGAUGAAGAAGUUAACAAAAUAUAUAUCUUUCAUGGUUGGCAACUUUGAGUUCCAAUGAGACAGAGCUGCUUAAAAACUAGCUGUUUCACUGGGUCAACUUAUGAAUAUGAUGUACUGGAAAAUAACCAGUUGAUUAAAGUAACUACUUUUACUGUUCUUUAUCAUAACAGUUGCUGCGGUGUCUUCAGCUAUGUACUGAAAUGCUUAUGCUUAGCAAUAAUGGCAAGACAACCCCUAUUGUCAACUUGAACAUUGUAUGUUCAAUAACGGUAACAUUACUCCAACUGGAGGUAUCAACUGUAUUAGAUAGAAGAAUAUUAGAAGUGAAAGAAAUAAGUCUAGAUGUAUUUUGGUUAUUUUUCUCAUACACUUCACCUCCUUGUAUUCAUAUCUGAAUGGCUGUAUUAAGACUUUAAUAUACUGAGCCUGUUGAGGAACCAAAAUCAGGGGAAACAUUUCUAUGGGGUGUAAUUAAGUAUUAAGAAUAGUACUGAACUGCUCACCAUUGUUGCUGUAAAACCUUCAAAAUUCAAGUACUGUUCCUAUUUUCUUUUAUUAUCCAUUUGAAUUAACUGAUUAAAUUGUUGUUUGUAGGGAGGAGGGACAAUUGAAGUGAUGAACUAAUACACAUCUGAAUGAUGUACACAAGAAAAACAGACCACAUAGAAUAAGGAAAAAAAAAGACCAACUCAUAGAGUAAAGGAUAGAUGAAAUUAGAAAAAAAACCUGAAACUAACCAACAUACCAGCUGACUUACAUUAGAACUGACCCAACUGAUGGACAUAGUCAACUGAUGAUCAUAGAACAAACUUUAACAUAUUAACAUCAUAGUAAAACAAUCAACAUGUCAGCUGCCUUAUCACCAACUAAGAGGUUAGAGCUGACUCAACUGAUGAACAUAGUCAACUGAUGGACAUAGUCAACUGAUAGACAUAAUCAACUGAUGAUCAUAGAACAAACUUUAACAUAUUAACAUCAUGGUAAAACAAUCAACAUGUCAGCUGCCUUAUCACCAACUAAAAGGUUAGAGCUGACUCAACUGAUGAACAUAGUCAACUGAUGAACAUAGUCAACUGAUGAACAUAGUCAACUGAUGAACAUAGUCAAAUAGUCAACUGAUAAACAUAGUCAACUGAUGAACAUAGUCAACUGAUGAACAUAGUCAACUGAUGAACAUAGUCAACUGAUAAACAUAGUCAACUGAUAAACAUAGUCAACUGAUAAACAUAGUCAACUGAUGAACAUAGUCAACUGAUAAACAUAGUCAACUGAUGAACAUAGUCAACUGAUGAACAUAGUCAACUGAUAGACAUAGUCACCUGAUAGACAUAGACAUUUAAUAUAUUAACAGCAUAGUAAAACAAUGAACAUGUCAAUAUUAACAGCAUAGUAAAACAAUGAACAUGUCAAUAUUAACAGCAUAAUAAAACAAUGAACAUGUCGGAGACUAAUAUUCUUGUCAAUUAAAAUAUAUGACUGAAAUUUCAUAAUUGCAUAUGGUCAGUUGGAGAGAGAGAAAUAUGUAGAAUGUUCAAGAGUGGGAAAGGGAGCACACUCAUGUAUGAUGAUGAGAGAGAAGAACUAUUGCAACUUUAAAUUUGUCUUCAACCAAAUACAUGGCUUUUGAUAAGGGACGACAAAACCUAUUGUUCUUUAUUUAUUACAGUCUAAAAGUGUCAUAGAUAAGCACUAUUCUUAUUUUGAAUGUCUUUGCUUAUACCUCUAACCUUAGACAUGCAUCCCAUAUUUUUAUUAUCUAGAGCUCUGUAAAAAAAAAA